AUCGAAGAGCAGAAAACUACAACCUUUCUAUUGGCUUUUUUCUUUGCUAUGAAAUUAACUGUAAAAUUAGAAACUAAUUUCUAAUUAAUAAUCUAAUAAUAAAAUUAGAAAUUUAGUAAUUUAUUAGUAGUAUUAGCGCAUACCAACAAUAUCAUACUAAAUCAAAGAAAGAAAAGCAUAAAAAUACUUAAACAAAAAAAAAAAAAUGAACUAAAAACUAAUAAAGAACCCCGAU
Molecule: long non-coding RNA, 235 nt
Filed under: Citrus maxima (pomelo)
Lineage: Eukaryota; Viridiplantae; Streptophyta; Magnoliopsida; Sapindales; Rutaceae
Description: long non-coding RNA (CMAX_LNC004412)
Source: RNAcentral